UUGGUUUGUUUAUGUUUUGAUUCGGGUCGCGUUGGUUUCGCGAUGCUUACUCGAGUUUCGAUACCUGAAAUAUUAAUCCUUAAUCCUGCGCAGCGGAGACGUCAGGCGGCGGCCGAGUCAUUAUAUAUAAAUUGCUGGAAAUGCUGUCGAGCGUCACGAGAGUGGUCGGCCGACUCCUGUCGUCAGCAACAACAGCCAUGACCACUAAGGCCGACGACUUCCUCUUCAGACAGCUGUUUGACCGUGAGAGCUGCACCUGCUGACCGACCUGGGCCGUGCUGAUCGACCCUGAGCUCGAACUGACCGAAAGGGAUGCCCAACUCUCAUCUCGCAACUCGGACUCACCCUCAAAUACGCAAUGAACACGACACACACGCCCACGUCACGGACAGCGAGCUCGUCGAGUUCAGACGCCACAAACUCAUCACGCUCGGACACAGCAACGGAACUGGUGCAUGGCAUUCACCGAGGACACGCUGCUGAUCUUCCAGGAAGGCAGUCCGACCACCCUGUAUUAGUCGGACCACUCCAAAAUCUUCUCGCUGCCUCUUGAAUUAAAACUCUACUCGGUAAACGAUUACAAAGGUUUGACCGAGACGACUGUUGGCGAGGAGUUCAACGCCCGGCUGACGAAGCUUCAGAAGGAGUUCUUGGACAUCAUGGACCACCUGAACCUGCCGUACCCCAAGAUGAUUGACAAGGCCGUACCCGCCAACCACGUCUGUUGCCUUCAGUUCCGAAAACAACGCACGUAGUGUCUAUUUUUUACGAUUCUGAUUGGCCGCUGGACUGUUAUCCUGAUUGGCCUGCAUUAUUUCGACGCCAUAUUGACUUAUAAUUUAAUAGAAAUAUUUUCAAAUAUUAGAAAAUCCAAAAUAUUUUAUUUUUUAAAAGAAAAUUGAUAAAAUUCUGGAAUUUAUUAUAUGUUUUCAAGAAAGAAAGCCUUUAUUUCCUAAAUAAACACAACUUACCACGUAAAAAUCGACUCUUCUCGUUUUGGCGGUCUGUGGCCCAGUGUGGUGACGGCGAGGAUCGACCCGCGCAGAGAGCAGCAUGUUAGCCUUGAUAUCAUGAAAAGAGCAAGCUGCCUGUUCGUCCGCCUCGCUCCAUCCCUCGGUUCAGCAGCCAAACGAAUGAAUUCGACUGACAAUGAGCCAUUCCGGCAGCUUUUGUUGCAAUUAUAAUCAAGUCUCGGGGUGAUUUUUAUUUUCUUUCCUCUUAAUUCAUGAAAUUUUGUAUUGAAUAGUUUACAAAAAUGCUGAAAUAAGAA
Long non-coding RNA from Cloeon dipterum, 1270 nucleotides. RefSeq lists it as uncharacterized. Lineage: Eukaryota; Metazoa; Arthropoda; Insecta; Ephemeroptera; Baetidae. The transcript is spliced from 6 exons. The record is from RefSeq and is a predicted model, not a curated record.